UACGAAGGGUGCAAACGUUGCUCGGAAUUAUUGGGCGUAAAGCGCACGUAGGCGGCUUGGCAAGUCGGAUGUGAAAGCCCUCGGCCCAACCAAGGAAGUGCAUCCGAAACUGCUGAGCUUGAGUACUUAAGAGGAUCGCGGAAUUCCCGGUGUAGAGGUGAAAUUCGUAGAUAUCGGGAGGAACACCAGUGGCGAAGGCGGCGAUCUGGGAAGAUACUGACGCUGAGGUGCGAAAGCGUGGGGAGCAAACAGG
RNAcentral lists this ribosomal RNA (253 nucleotides) under uncultured bacterium. RNAcentral describes it as "partial 16S ribosomal RNA". It matches the Rfam family "Bacterial small subunit ribosomal RNA", at positions 524 to 776 of the family's 1533-position model. The record is from RNAcentral.